Molecule: ribosomal RNA, 496 nt
Filed under: uncultured bacterium
Lineage: Bacteria
Description: partial 16S ribosomal RNA
Rfam family: Bacterial small subunit ribosomal RNA
Source: RNAcentral
GAUGAACGCUGGCGGCGUGCCUAAUACAUGCCAGUAGAACGCUGAAGGAGGAGCUUGCUCUUUCCGGAUGAGUUGCGAACGGGUGAGUAACGCGUAGGUAACCUGCCUGGUAGCGGGGGAUAACUAUUGGAAACGAUAGCUAAUACCGCAUAACAGUAGAUAUUGCAUGAUAUUUGCUUGAAAGGGGCAAUUGCUCCACUACCAGAUGGACCUGCGUUGUAUUAGCUAGUUGGUGAGGUAACGGCUCACCAAGGCGACGAUACAUAGCCGACCUGAGAGGGUGAUCGGCCACACUGGGACUGAGACACGGCCCAGACUCCUACGGGAGGCAGCAGUAGGGAAUCUUCAGCAAUGGACGGAAGUCUGACCGAGCAACGCCGCGUGAGUGAAGAAGGGUUUCGGAUCGUAAAGCUCUGUUGUAAGAGAAGAACGAGUGUGAGAGUGGAAAGUUCACACUGUGACGGUAUCUUACCAGAAAGGGACGGCUAACUACGUG